AACGAACGCUGGCGGCAGGCUUAACACAUGCCAGUCGAACGCCCCGCCAGGGGAGUGGCAGACGGGUGAGUAACACGUGGGAACAUGCCCAAAGGUACGGAAUAUUCUCGGGAAACUGAGAGCAAUACCGUAUGUGCCCGAAAGGGGAAAGAUUUAUCGCCUUUGGAUUGGCCCGCGUCGGAUUAGCUAGUUGGUGGGGUAAAAGCCUACCAAGGCGACGAUCCGUAGCUGGUCUGAGAGGACGACCAGCCACACUGGGACUGAGACACGGCCCAGACUCCUACGGGAGGCAGCAGUGGGGAAUCUUGGACAAUGGGCGCAAGCCUGAUCCAGCCAUGCCGCGUGGAUGAUGAAGGCCCUAGGGUUGUAAAAUCCUUUCGUUGGGGACGAUAAUGACGGUACCCAAAGAAGAAGCUCCGGCUAACUUCGUG
RNAcentral lists this ribosomal RNA (431 nucleotides) under uncultured bacterium. RNAcentral's name for it is "partial 16S ribosomal RNA". It matches the Rfam family "Bacterial small subunit ribosomal RNA", at positions 29 to 507 of the family's 1533-position model. The record is from RNAcentral.